AGAUGAUGAUGCAGGUGAUGAUCACAUGGAAAAGGAAUGUCUACGCGUUUUGUCUCUUAACGGAGCCUUUAUCAAGACUCAGUCUACGCGUUUCAUCUCUUAGCUGAGACUUUAUCAAGACUUGAUAUAGUCUCAGCUAAGAGACGAAACACGUAGACGUUCCUUUUCCACGUGAUCAUCACCUGCAUCA
Pelobates cultripes (western spadefoot toad) is the source of this 190-nucleotide non-coding RNA. Lineage: Eukaryota; Metazoa; Chordata; Amphibia; Anura; Pelobatidae. The record is from the annotation of a GenBank genome assembly.